GAUGAACGCUGGCGGCGUGCCUAAUACAUGCAAGUAGAACGCUGAAGGAGGAGCUUGCUCUUCUGGAUGAGUUGCGAACGGGUGAGUAACGCGUAGGUAACCUGCCUGGUAGCGGGGGAUAACUAUUGGAAACGAUAGCUAAUACCGCAUGACAACAGUUAUUGCAUGAUAACUGUUUAAAAGGGGCAACUGCUCCACUACCAGAUGGACCUGCGUUGUAUUAGCUAGUUGGUGAGGUAACGGCUCACCAAGGCGACGAUACAUAGCCGACCUGAGAGGGUGAUCGGCCACACUGGGACGGAGACACGGCCCAGACUCCUACGGGAGGCAGCAGUAGGGAAUCUUCGGCAAUAGACGGAAGUCUGACCGAGCAACGCCGCGUGAGUGAAGAAGGUUUUCGGAUCGUAAAGCUCUGUUGUAAGAGAAGAACGAGUGUGAGAGUGGAAAGUUCACACUGUGACGGUAUCUUACCAGAAAGGGACGGCUAACUACGUG
This 495-nucleotide ribosomal RNA is filed under the name uncultured bacterium. RNAcentral describes it as "partial 16S ribosomal RNA". It matches the Rfam family "Bacterial small subunit ribosomal RNA", at positions 28 to 507 of the family's 1533-position model. The record is from RNAcentral.